UUAAUUGAAACCAAAAAAGAGGUAAAUUACUGUUAAUAAUUAAAUUGAGAAAUUUUCUCCAAUUAAA
RNAcentral lists this transfer RNA (67 nucleotides) under Euryusa optabilis. RNAcentral describes it as "tRNA-Asn". Lineage: Eukaryota; Metazoa; Arthropoda; Insecta; Coleoptera; Staphylinidae. The record is from RNAcentral.